RNAcentral lists this ribosomal RNA (553 nucleotides) under uncultured eukaryote. RNAcentral's name for it is "bacterial SSU rRNA". It matches the Rfam family "Eukaryotic small subunit ribosomal RNA", at positions 1089 to 1659 of the family's 1831-position model. The record is from RNAcentral.
CGAGAAAUCAGGAGUAGUCGGUUCCGGGGGGAGUAUGGUCGCAAGGCCGAAACUUAAGGAAUUGACGGAAGGGCACCACCAGGAGUGGAAUCUGCGGCUUAAUUUGACAACGCGGGAAAACUCACCAGGUCAGGACACGGUAAGGAUUGACGGACUGAAGGCUCUUUCUCGAUUCCGUGGAAAGUGGUGCAUGGCCGUUUUGGUUGGUGGAUCGAUCCGUCUGGUUAAUUCCGUUAACGAACGAGACCUCGGCACUCCGAAUAGCGCGGCGGACGUCGCGGCCUCCGGGCCGUCUUCCGCACGAGCUUCUUAGAGGGACCGUCCCCCGCCGGGGAAGGAGGUGCGAGGCAACGACAGGUCUGUGAUGCCCUUAGAUGUUCUGGGCCGCACGCGCAUUACACUGACGCGUCCAACGGGUGACUCCCGACCCGAAGGGGCCGGGGAAUCCGCAAGGCGCGUCGUGAUGGGGAUUGAACGUUGCAAUUGUUGUUCACGAACGAGGAAUUCCUAGUAGGCGCGGGUCAUCAACCCGCGCCGAUUACGUCCCUGCCCC